Anguilla anguilla (European eel) is the source of this 456-nucleotide long non-coding RNA. RefSeq lists it as uncharacterized. The transcript has 4 exons. The record is from RefSeq and is a predicted model, not a curated record. Lineage: Eukaryota; Metazoa; Chordata; Actinopteri; Anguilliformes; Anguillidae.
GAGUCAGUGAUUCGGGUCUAUGAGUCUGUCAGUCGGGACUAUGAGUCUGUGAGUCGGGUCUAUGAGUCUGUGAGUCGGGUCUAUGAGUCAGUGAGUCAGGUCUAUGAGUCUGUGAGUCGGGUCUGUGAGUCUGUGAGUCGGGUCUAUGAGUCUGUGAGUCGGGUCUAUGAGUCUGUGAGUCGGGUCUAUGAGUCAGGUCUAUGAGUCUGUGAGUCGGGUCUGUGAGUCAGUGAGUCGGGUCUAGGAGUCUGUGAGUCGGGUCUAGGAGUCUGUGAGUCGUGUCUAUGAGUCUGUGAGUCGUGUCUAUGAGUCAGUGAGUCAGGUCUAUGAGUCUGUGAGUCGGGUCUAUGAGUCAGUGAGUCGGGACUAUGAGUCUGUGAGUCGGGUCUAUGAGUCUGUGAGUCAGGUCUAUGUUGUUUAGGCCGUGUUACCCACAGACUUGAUGCCAGGGGCUAA